UACGGGGGGAGCAAACGUUGUUCGGAAUUAUUGGGCGUAAAGGGCGCGUAGGCGGCGUUUCAAGUGACGGGUGAAAUCCCUCGGCUUAACCGAGGAACUGCCUGUCAGACUGGAAGGCUUGAGACCGGGAGAGGUGAGUGGAAUUCCCAGUGUAGCGGUGAAAUGCGUAGAUAUUGGGAGGAACACCAGUGGCGAAGGCGGCUCACUGGACCGGUACUGACGCUGAGGCGCGAAAGCGUGGGGAGCAAACAGG
This 253-nucleotide ribosomal RNA is filed under the name uncultured bacterium. RNAcentral's name for it is "partial 16S ribosomal RNA". It matches the Rfam family "Bacterial small subunit ribosomal RNA", at positions 524 to 776 of the family's 1533-position model. The record is from RNAcentral.